GACUGUUUAAUUAAAACAAAGCAUUGUGAUGGCCGGAGACGGUGUUGACACAAUGUGAUUUCUGCCCAGUGCUCUGAAUGUCAAAGUGAAGAGAUUCAACCAAGCGCGGGUAAACGGCGGGAGUAACUAUGACUUCAACAUGAUAAUACAGGCAGGGUUCAGU
RNAcentral lists this non-coding RNA (163 nucleotides) under Phytophthora sojae strain P6497. RNAcentral's name for it is "Eukaryotic large subunit ribosomal RNA". It matches the Rfam family "Eukaryotic large subunit ribosomal RNA", at positions 2136 to 2280 of the family's 3401-position model. Lineage: Eukaryota; Oomycota; Peronosporomycetes; Peronosporales; Peronosporaceae. The record is from Rfam by way of RNAcentral.